Molecule: unclassified non-coding RNA, 201 nt
Filed under: Hevea brasiliensis (rubber tree)
Lineage: Eukaryota; Viridiplantae; Streptophyta; Magnoliopsida; Malpighiales; Euphorbiaceae
Source: RNAcentral
GAAGUGCGGAAAUUGGUUUGUGCGGCAUUUGUUCAACUAAUUGAAGUUCGUCCUGCCGUUUUGGAGCCACACUUGAGGAAUGUUUUGGAAUAUAUAUUGCAAGUCAACAAGGAUCCAGAUGAAGAAGUGGCACUUGAAGCUUGUGAAUUUUGGUCCGCAUACUGUGAUGCUCAGUUGCCACCUGAGAACUUGAGAGAAUUC